This 397-nucleotide long non-coding RNA is filed under the name Phasianus colchicus (ring-necked pheasant). Its description in RNAcentral is "lncRNA (ENSPCLG00000008125.1)". Lineage: Eukaryota; Metazoa; Chordata; Aves; Galliformes; Phasianidae. The record is from RNAcentral.
GUCCAAGCCGUUCCUGCCAGCACCUCACCCUCCCACCUCAGCGUCACACACCAGCCUACCUGAAUGCUGCAGGCAGCCCACCGCCAGCCUCCAUCUUUGUCUCUAGAAGGGCUUUAACGGCCUGUAACACCUACACAGCAUGAGGAGAGAUGUACAGUCUGACUCCUGCCCUAGGGGUGCAGCUGCACCAGGUGGUGAUGGUGGUGAGGUAAUCAGUGUGGCCUUGCCCAUAACAGCCCCACAUGUGGGAGCAGAGCCUGAGCUGCCGCCCCUCAGCAAAGAGCGCUCUGUGGGCAGGCAGCAGUGGAUUUUAUCCAGCUCUACUUCAGAAGAUCCUGCUGAGGGAAGGUCCAGGUUUUGUUUCAUACAUAGUAACAGGACAAGAGACAACUGCUAG